RNAcentral lists this long non-coding RNA (1013 nucleotides) under Suricata suricatta (meerkat). RNAcentral describes it as "lncRNA (ENSSSUG00005002083.1)". The record is from RNAcentral. Lineage: Eukaryota; Metazoa; Chordata; Mammalia; Carnivora; Herpestidae.
UAAAUCCCUUCUAAUCCUGCUCACUUUGAGGGCUCACGAGCAAGACUUCUACUGCUUCCAAUUAAUAUGUUUUAGUGACAAGUUUGCCAUCAGGGAAUAAAGAAACCAUUUUACACCUGGAAUGGAGAAUGGGGUAGGAGGGAGAGGUGGAGUAUGUGUUACUAUGUAAUAAUUUGCGUUGCUCACUGUUUUACCGUUGGCUGCCUCUGUGAUCUCUCCAGGGAAGACCGAGGAAGCUAGGUUUAUGGAAAGUGGGUUGCUUGACCCAUCAGGAAGACACACUAGGAAUCUGAUGAGGAGGUCAGGUCUAGAAACCUGAAUUACAAGGGACGAACUUGGGAGUGAAUUGUCAAGUUUUGUUCCUUUAAUCUUUUACUCUUUCCUCCAUCUUAGUACUUUCCUUUUCUUCCAGUCUCCUCCCAGCUUUGUUUGCUGAAUACUUUUUUCACUCUUGUUUUUACAGAUCUUUCCCUAGAAGACAAGGAUGAGGACGUCCACAGCCAAAGGACAGCACAGUUGCCAGAGAUGGCGUUACUCACCCUCUCAGAGUGCCUGACGGGUCCCUGCUAACUCGUGUGCGGUCACUGCCCCCACCCCGUGGAGGUCGUUCCCGGCUGGAGGAGGGCCCUGCCCAUUCCAGGCCUUCCUGGACCCUUGUGGCUCCACCUUUUCGUGUGGCCUCUCCCCCAUGAAGAUCCCGGGAGCUCCAAACGCCACUGCCAGCUUCAAAUCCAGGAGAAAAAGGGCUUUCAACUGAGAAUUUGGGGGUCCUUUAAAAAAGUAAAUUUCACUGGGCACCUGGGAGGGCUCAGUCAGUUAAGUGUCCAACUCUAGGUCUCUGCUCAGGUCACGAUCUCACAGUUGGUGAGUUCGAGUGCCCACAUCCAGGCUCUGUGCUGAUAGCAUGGAGCCUGCUUGGGAUUCUCUCUCUCUCUCUCUCUCUCUCUCUCUCUCUCUCUCUGUGCCCCUCCUGCACCCCCACCUCAAAAUAAAUAAAUAAACUUAAAAAAAAA